Molecule: long non-coding RNA, 2001 nt
Organism: Triticum dicoccoides
Lineage: Eukaryota; Viridiplantae; Streptophyta; Magnoliopsida; Poales; Poaceae
Exons: 2
Source: RefSeq, a predicted model, not a curated record
CCCACUCCUUCCCCGAUCCCCUCCACCUUCUUCCUCCCACGCCCGAGCCCCCCGAUCCACCAACCCACCGUCGCGUCCCCAGGCCGGCGACCUCCCACCGCCACGCCACCUUCCUCCCCUGCACCUCCGCGCCACCUCCACCUCUCUGCGCCGCCGCACCACCUCGAACCACCUACCCUCCCCGCCCCACCUGCCCCCACGCAGGCCAGCCACCGGAUCCGCCCAUCGCAAUCCUCCACAGCGGUGCCCCUGCCGUUGGAUACGACGCGCGCCGACGAGAAGCGUCGGAUCCCGCGCUCGGGAGAGGGCUCAGGCCUCCUCCCCAACAGCUCCCGUUGCCUUGUCGUCCCUGCUACCUCCCCUCCCCACACCAUCAGAUUCAUCUCUCCAUGGCGACGCUCGAUCGAGCCAGGCCCGAGGGAGGAGAGCAGCCGGGUCUCUUCCUCCUCUCCGGCGAGGCCUGGGCACCCCCCUCCUCCGGCUCGGACCAACCACCCACAGAUCCCGACCCUCGCCGCCGCCACCUCCGCUCUACACCGCAGGUGGAUCCGGGCCGCCACUGCCGGCGCUGCACCCCUGGCUCUCCCCACUGGACUCCCCUCUACCCUCCUCUGAACUGUACAGCAGGCAGUGCGGGAAACUGUGGCGUGCAGUGCACCUCACCCCGGCGUGUAGCUCGGCCCCUGCCCCGGUGUGCGGGCACCCUCGCGAGCAACAUCGGUCAAGUUCAUGCCUCCAAAUCCUCCACUUUGUGACCCAUCCCCAGGCCCCCGGCUACGCCACCCAUCCCUAGGCCAGCUCCGACCAGCGGCUCCUAUGGAGAUGCCCAUGGCCGCCAAACAACCAUUGCCCCACCGGAUCUUGGGGCGGCCGGCGUCUUCCCCUACUGGUGCGCCACUUCCUCCUCUCCUAGUAGCUAGUCCCUGCGAGAUCCAUGAUGGCUACAGCCCCCAAGUCGUUGUGUUGGUCCCCCAUCCUAAUGACCACGACCUUCACAUCCCCUCUUCACUCUCUGUGCCUGCACCUUGAUGGCUGGUGAGCAGCUCCAUUAGCUCCGCCGUGGGUCGUUGACCAUGCCGUCGUAAGCAGUUAAGCACCGUGGGUGAGGCGUUGUGCUGCAGUUCAUUUGCCGCUGGAGUUCACUAUUUAGUUUGCUUAUUUUUCCUGAGUCGCCCGCCAACAGUCAAAAGAACUCAAAGUGCACUGCAGUCUGCUGUUGUUCAGUUUUGUUAUUUUUGCGGAAACAAAAAAGGACCAACAAAAGAAAAUAGGAAAGCUAGUGCACUGCACGCCCGGAUGAGACUAAAAGGAACAUAAAUGCAGUUUGUGCAUCAUCUUCCCCAAAAACUGAUUUUGUGCAGUUCUCUGUUUUUUAUUUUGGCUAUGUUCAAGUACAGUGUGCUUCUUUUUUUAGUGCAGUCCCAACUUCGUGAAGAUGGCGUUCGUGUGUCCUACAGUUCCUACAUGCUGGUGGAGCGAUGCAUUGGGCUGGAUGCAUGAGAGAUAAGUGGCAUGGAAGAAGCACUGGAGAUCCUGUUGCACGGUUCAAAGACUACCAUGACGGCACAUCAAUGGCAUGGAAGAGGUCAUCGAGCCUAGCACAUCCACCGCGAUGGCUGCUUCCGCUGGUCAAUUUCUUAUGUUCUUCCCAUUCAUGGCCUAGCUUGCCCAAAUUUUCUUCUGAAUAUUUUCUUGUUGCUAUUCCGUGUAGCAGUAGUGGUGGUGAUUACUCCCUAGUUGCUAGUCAGUUCUCCACAUCGAGCCUAGGGUCGCCAUCCUGAAUAUUUUUCUUCUGAAUUGCAGUUCUCCCCACUUCUUGACGGGGUUCCGUUGCCAUGGUGCUGCAGUGCGCCUGGAUUUUUUAAAGUUUCACUUUGUUCUUGGAUAUGUGAGAAAAAAAUGUAAAAAAAUGUAAAAUAGAUGCAGUUUGUGUGUAUUGUGAAGUCCUUUGUUUGUAUUUGAGAAGUUCGUUCAGCUGUGUAAUGCCGUUCUUUUUGUUGC